UGGGGCGGAGGUGGGGCGACCUGUCAAUCCGUCUCGGUUGCCUGGGGAGCGCCGGACUUUACGUCCCACAGUGAUCUAGUAGAGAUACGUCUGUUAUGAAACUGAUUUUGCUUCAGAAUGACUUCCCAACUCGAAGCAGACCGAGAACGAUAAACGUUUUGUUGUUGCAAAGAAAUAGGUAGUUCAAUCCCUUCACUUCACAGAAAACUCCAACCCAGCCUUCAAGACCUGGUGCAAGCAUCCUUCAUCUUGUGAAGUUUUCCCUGCCCCCCUCUGGCACCCACCCAGACACAGCCAAGAAGAGCCAUGGUCUGGAACAAUCGAGGGACUCCCAACUUCUGCAGAUUUCUACACCAAACGACACCAAGGCUGACCUGCAGCAGGAAGUGGUUCCCCGUCACCCUGUG
This is a long non-coding RNA of Hippopotamus amphibius kiboko, 407 nucleotides long. RefSeq lists it as uncharacterized. The record is from RefSeq and is a predicted model, not a curated record. Lineage: Eukaryota; Metazoa; Chordata; Mammalia; Artiodactyla; Hippopotamidae. The transcript is spliced from 3 exons.